Molecule: ribosomal RNA, 112 nt
Filed under: bacterium
Lineage: Bacteria
Source: RNAcentral
UCCCGGUGAUUUAGCUUCGUGUGACCCACCCGUUCCCAUUCCGAACACGGAAGUGAAAGCGCGAAGUGCUGAUGAUACUCAAAUUUUUGGGGAAAGUAGGCUUCGCCGGGAU